GGACUCAUAUUUUGACAGUUAAGUUAACAGUAAUAUUUGUGUAAUACCUUUUGUAAACUUUUGUAUAAUAAAUAUUGUUAAAUUUUACUAUUGAUUUGUGUCUUUUGUUGGCUACAAUUUAAAGGCGAUUUCUGGCCGUAACAGAAAUUGGGGGCUCGUCCGGGAUACUGAAAAUAUUUUAUUCAAAAUUUGUUUAAUAUUUUUAUUAUAACUAGCCAACAAAAUUCUACAAAAUGGCAUUUGAUGCUGGUAAAUUUUUGAAAACGCCAGACCUGGAGAGUUUUGAUAAUUUAAAGAAAGAGGAAUUAGUGUUGCUUGCUAAACAUCUGAAAUUAAAUUUUUAAAGUAUCUAUGAGAAAACAAAUUAUAAAAAAUUUGGUUAUAGACAAAUUAGUUGACGCAGAAAUUUUAGGUGAAGAGGCUCUUGAACUUAAGGUCGAAAAUGUUGACGCCUUUAAAUUAAAACAGCUUGAAUUAGAACAUGAAUUUAAAUUAAAACAAGCAGAACUGGAAAUGAAGGAAAGGUUGGAAAUAGAGAGAAAAGAAAAAGAAGAUGAAUUUAAAUUAAAAGAACUGGAAAUGAAGGAGAGGGAGAAAAUAAAAGAAGAUGAAUUAAAAUUAAAAGAACUUGAAAUGAGAGAAAGGCUAGAGAUGGAAAAACUGAAAAUUGAAAUGGUCAAAGAAGAAAGCAACACUAAAGUCCAGUCGAAAUCAGAUUAUUUUGAUGCAGCAAAAAAUAUACGUUUGGUUCCGAAAUUUUGUGAAAAAACAGUCGAUAAAUAUUUUCCACAGUUUGAGAAAAUUGCUAAUAAUUUGAAAUGGCCAAUGCCGUAUUGGACUACGAUGCUGCAAAGUGUUUUUGAGGGUAAGGCAGCUGAAAUAUACUCCGCACUUCCAUCAGAAAAAAGUUCUGAUUAUGACACUGUGAAACAGGAAAUUUUGAAAGCCUAUGAGCUAGUACCAGAAGCAUAUAGACAGAAAUUUAGAUCUUAUAAAAAGUUUGAUUCGCAAACCUAUGUGGAAUUUGCUCGGGAAAAAGAAGAUCUAUUUGAUAAAUGGCUUACUUCAAAGAAAACAAAAACAAUUUUGAUCAACCUAAGACAAUUGAUGUUAUUAGAAGAGUUUAAACAAUGUGUUCAUUCAGAAUUAAAAACACAUUUAGACGACAAAACUGUUGAGUCAAUACAUGAUGCAGCUGUAAUUUCAGAUAAUUAUACUCUUUCACAUAAAAGAAGUUUCAAGAGUCAAAAUGUUAAUACUUCCAGUGGAAAUUACAAAAAUCAAAGCACUGAGCGUACUGAUAGUAAGCCUGUUCCACAGAAUAAGAGUCAGUCCAGUUAU
Molecule: long non-coding RNA, 1341 nt
Filed under: Mytilus galloprovincialis (Mediterranean mussel)
Lineage: Eukaryota; Metazoa; Mollusca; Bivalvia; Mytilida; Mytilidae
Source: RNAcentral